CGGGUACGUUAAUAGCGUAUUCGUUUGACGUUAGCGACAGAAGAAAGCACCGGCUAACUCCGUGCCAGCAGCCGCGGUAAUACGGAGGGUGCGAGCGUUAAUCGGAAUUACUGGGCGUAAAGCGCAUGCAGGUGGUUUGUUAAGUCAGAUGUGAAAGACCCGGGGCGUCAACCUCGGAAUAGCAUUUGUAAACUAGGCAGACUAGAGUACUGUAGAGGGGGGUAGGAAUUUCAGGUGUAGCGGUGAAAUAGCGUAGAGAUCUGAAGGAAUACCGGUGGCGAAGGCGGCCCCCUCGGACAGAUACUGACACUCAGAUGCGAAAGCGUGGGGAGCAAACAGGAUUAGAUACCCUGGUAG
This 357-nucleotide ribosomal RNA is filed under the name uncultured bacterium. Its description in RNAcentral is "bacterial SSU rRNA". It matches the Rfam family "Bacterial small subunit ribosomal RNA", at positions 445 to 793 of the family's 1533-position model. The record is from RNAcentral.